This 275-nucleotide long non-coding RNA is filed under the name Elaeis guineensis (African oil palm). RNAcentral describes it as "long non-coding RNA (EGUI_LNC082019)". The record is from RNAcentral. Lineage: Eukaryota; Viridiplantae; Streptophyta; Magnoliopsida; Arecales; Arecaceae.
AUGGCUGAUGAAGAAUCCUAAUGCUUGUGGAUUAUGAGUCCUACAUCUCUGGGACUCUGUGAUCGAGAAUCAAGAUUCUCUGAUCAUGAGUCCCACACAUUUUGGGUACCGGGGUAAAGAGUCCCACUGGUUUGGGACUCUUUGAUCAGGAUUACAUAUCGAUGAAUUCUGAUAUCCGAUUACCCAUCGGAUUUGGACUCAAUAUUUAUAAGAGGUUUAAUUAGUGAUUUGAUCGCUAAUUAACUCAAUUUGAUUGAGUAAUUAUUUUUGGAUCA